This 433-nucleotide ribosomal RNA is filed under the name uncultured bacterium. RNAcentral describes it as "partial 16S ribosomal RNA". It matches the Rfam family "Bacterial small subunit ribosomal RNA", at positions 29 to 507 of the family's 1533-position model. The record is from RNAcentral.
AACGAACGCUGGCGGCAUGCCUAACACAUGCAAGUCGAACGACACCUUCGGGUCUGGUGGCUCACGGGUGCGUCAAGCGUGGGAACGUGCCCUUAGGUUCGGGAAAACUCCCCGACGGGGGUGCUAAUGCCGGGUAAUGUCUUCGGACCAAAGAUUUAUCGCAUUUGUGUGGGCCCGCGAUGGAUUGGCUUGGUGGUAUGGUAAAAGCCUACCAAGGCGACGAUACAUAGCGGGUCUGAGAGGAAGAGAAGCCACACUUGGACUGUGACACGGCCGAGACUCCUACAGGAAGCAGCAGUGGGGAAUAUUGGACAACGGCGUAAAGCCUGAUCGAGCAAGGCUGCGUGAGUGAUGAAGGUGUUAGAGUUGUAAAGCUCGUUUACCCGGGAUUAUAAUGACAGUACCGGGAGAAUAAGCUCCGGCUAACUCCGUG